This 162-nucleotide ribosomal RNA is filed under the name Lissocarpa guianensis. Its description in RNAcentral is "5.8S ribosomal RNA". It matches the Rfam family "5.8S ribosomal RNA". Rfam says of the family: 5.8S ribosomal RNA (5.8S rRNA) is a component of the large subunit of the eukaryotic ribosome. It is transcribed by RNA polymerase I as part of the 45S precursor that also contains 18S and 28S rRNA. Lineage: Eukaryota; Viridiplantae; Streptophyta; Magnoliopsida; Ericales; Ebenaceae. The record is from RNAcentral.
AAUGACUCUCGGCAACGGAUAUCUCGGCUCUCGCAUCGAUGAAGAACGUAGCGAAAUGCGAUACUUGGUGUGAAUUGCAGAAUCCCGUGAACCAUCGAGUCUUUGAACGCAAGUUGCGCCCGAAGUCUUUAGGCUGAGGGCACGUCUGCCUGGGCGUCACGC